RNAcentral lists this ribosomal RNA (1173 nucleotides) under human gut metagenome. RNAcentral describes it as "bacterial LSU rRNA". It matches the Rfam family "Bacterial large subunit ribosomal RNA", at positions 826 to 1980 of the family's 2925-position model. The record is from RNAcentral.
AUUCCAAUCGAACUCGGAGAUAGCUGGUUCUCCCCGAAAUAGCUUUAGGGCUAGCCUGAGGUAGUAAGUAUAGGCGGUAGAGCACUGAUCGGGCUAGGGGCCGUAAAGGUUACCGAACCCUGUCAAACUCCGAAUGGAUAUACUGUAGAGCCUUGGAGUCAGACUACGAGUGAUAAGAUCCGUGGUCAAAAGGGAAACAGCCCAGACCACCAGCUAAGGUCCCCAAUGUCGUACUAAGUGGAAAAGGAUGUGGGGUUUCAUAAACAACCAGGAUGUUGGCUCAGAAGCAGCCACCAUUUAAAGAGUGCGUAAUAGCUCACUGGUCGAGAGACCCUGCGCCGAAGAUUCCCGGGGCUAAAGUACGAAACCGAAGCUGUGGCUGUAUACGUAAAGUAUACGGGGUAGGGGAGCGUUCCCAUAGGGUAGAAGUCGAACUGGAAGGUUCGGUGGACUUGUGGGAAGUGAGAAUGUUGGUAUGAGUAGCGAAAAGAAAGGUGAGAAUCCUUUCCACCGAAAGCAUAAGGAUUCCUGAGCAACGAUCGUCGUCUCAGGGUAAGUCGGGACCUAAUCCGAGGCAGAGAGCGUAGGAGAUGGACAACUGGUUGAUAUUCCAGUACCGGUAGUAAUUGUUUGAGCAAUGGAGUGACACAGAAGGGCAGGCAAGCAUGCGAAUGGAAGAGCAUGUGUAAGCGUGUAGGGUGGUGCAUAGGCAAAUCCGUGCACUGAAAGCCUGAGGCGUGAUGCGGAGUGAGCAGAGAUGCGAGCGAAGUUGUUGACCCCACACUGUCGAGAAAAGCUUCUAGUGAGAGAGCUACCGCCCGUACCGUAAACCGACACAGGUAUGCGGGGAGAGAAUCCUAAGGUGCGCGGGAGAACCCUCGUUAAGGAACUCGGCAAAAUGUACCCGUAACUUCGGGAUAAGGGUAGCCACUGUUGUGAAGUCCCAUGCGGAUGGAGCAUAGAGUGGUCGCAGAGAAGAGGCCCAAGCGACUGUUUACCAUAAACACAGGUGCCUGCUAAAGCGAAAGCUGACGUAUAGGUGCUGACACCUGCCCAGUGCCGGAAGGUUAAGGAAGGAUGUUCGGAUUAGUCCAAAGCAUUCGACUGAAGCCCCGGUGAACGGCGGCCGUAACUAUAACGGUCCUAAGGUAGCGAAAUUCCUUGUCGGGUAAG